RNAcentral lists this transfer RNA (60 nucleotides) under Eulimnogammarus verrucosus. RNAcentral's name for it is "tRNA-Phe". It matches the Rfam family "tRNA". From Rfam's summary of the family: Transfer RNA (tRNA) molecules are approximately 80 nucleotides in length. Their secondary structure includes four short double-helical elements and three loops (D, anti-codon, and T loops). The record is from RNAcentral. Lineage: Eukaryota; Metazoa; Arthropoda; Malacostraca; Amphipoda; Eulimnogammaridae.
AUUUAGAUAGCUUAGUUAGAGCGUUGCAUUGAAGAUGCAAAGGGGUGUUUUCUCUAAAUA